GUCGGUUCUUUUCAGUAAAUGAGCCAAAUGGUUACGCAAAGUCUGAAUGAGGGACACUUCAGAACACAAAAGUGAAAGAGGAUAUUAACCUACCAUCAGCUGAAAUAAAUAGUUCUUCAUGUUUGUGCAAAGGCCUGUACUGAGAAGUACCAUGAAAGGAUCGCUGUUACUGCAUUUACUUUUCCAAGGAGUGCUGUUGUAUGAUGCUUUGGCAUGGGAAGUGAAAAUGCCCAAAGACAUUCACGGCCUCAAAGGUUCCUGCUUGGUUAUACCAUGUUCUUACUACUACAGCUCAAACCCACCCCAAAACCCAGGUAGAGUUGUGUGGUAUCAGUGGGUUUCUUUUGGCUACCCUUUAGUUUACGAUCCAUUGCAUCCAAAAAAAGUCAUUGAGAAGUUCAGAGGGAAAACGGAUUUAUUUGGAAGCUCAAGUUGGGAUUGCAGUCUACUGAUCAAAAAUCUGGAUCAGGUCCAUCAUGGAGAGUUAGUAUAUGCAUGGAUUGACCCUGAAAAUGUUGGCUGGCGCACAUUCAGGUUUUAUGAUGUCACCUCCAUAAUUCUUGUUAAUGCAAGUCCACAGCAGCCCAGCAUCAAGAUCUAUGGAGGUGUAUGGACAGGUGACACCAUUACAGUAGUGUGUUCGACUUUACACACGUGUCCAUACAGCAAACCAAACAUCACUCUCAACAACAUCGAAGGAUCUGAUGAAAUGGACAAUGAGCAUAUUGAAGACGGCCUGUGGAAAAUCACUCUGACACGCACAUCUGUCACAAAUGCAGAAAAUGCCACUAUUGAGUGUUCAGUAAUAUAUUAUGGCGGCAUAACAGUUACAGCUAUGAAGAGCAUAAACGCACAAUCUCCUGACCAUGAAGAAGCAGACGUGCCCGUUCCAAAUAAGACUGACUGGCUUUACAUCCUAGUGCCCUCACUUGUGUGCAUCCUUACUUGCAUACUUGCUGGUUUCAUACACAAGUUUCGACACAGACAGACCCCUGAGGAUGAUAUGCAAGGAUCUGAACAGAAGGUUGAGGCGUCGCUAGUGAGGGAAAAAGUGACAUUGAGUAUUGGGGGCCCAGAACUAUCGGAAGGUCCACAACGAUCCAUCAAAAGUGCCUUAGCAGUUUCUACCGAAAAGCUUUUUCUAACAACUGCAAUUUUGAGCGGGCAGGACUGUCUUCUCACGCUCCAGACAUCUGAGUACUGUACGGAGGACCUGGAAAACCCAGCGACACCCCGGUCUGCAGGUGAUGAGGGGGACUCACUUGAACAAAAACGUUUCAUUGUAGCAGAAUGA
Molecule: long non-coding RNA, 1294 nt
Filed under: Carassius auratus (goldfish)
Lineage: Eukaryota; Metazoa; Chordata; Actinopteri; Cypriniformes; Cyprinidae
Description: lncRNA (ENSCARG00000009090.1)
Source: RNAcentral